Molecule: long non-coding RNA, 143 nt
Organism: Xiphophorus hellerii (green swordtail)
Lineage: Eukaryota; Metazoa; Chordata; Actinopteri; Cyprinodontiformes; Poeciliidae
Exons: 3
Source: RefSeq, a predicted model, not a curated record
UUUCCCUCAGUGUAUUAUAAGCCUGGCGGGCCACCAGGCUUUACUUGUACCCCCACCAAGCUUAGCAUUGUUAAUUUAACUUAGUGUUUUUUUUAUUAUUGCCUUUUUGCAAGACUUUAUAGUUGCUGUUUAGGUAUUAAACU